RNAcentral lists this unclassified non-coding RNA (253 nucleotides) under uncultured bacterium. RNAcentral describes it as "partial 16S ribosomal RNA". It matches the Rfam family "Bacterial small subunit ribosomal RNA", at positions 524 to 776 of the family's 1533-position model. RNAcentral also lists the same sequence under 1 other name. The record is from RNAcentral.
UACGUAGGUUGCGAGCGUUGUCCGGAAUCACUGGGCGUAAAGCGCACGCAGGCGGCUUCGGAAGUCCAAGGUGAAAGCCCUGGGCCCAACCCAGGGAGGCCCUUGGAAACUCUGGAGCUCGAAGAUUGGAGAGGCGGAUGGAAUUUCCGGUGUAGCGGUAAAAUGCGUAGAUACCGGAAGGAACACCAGUGGCGAAAGCGAUCCGCUGGCCAACUCUUGACGCUCAGGUGCGAAAGCUAGGGGAGCGACCGGG